RNAcentral lists this small nucleolar RNA (78 nucleotides) under Atractosteus spatula (alligator gar). Its description in RNAcentral is "Small nucleolar RNA SNORD103/SNORD85". It matches the Rfam family "Small nucleolar RNA SNORD103/SNORD85". From Rfam's summary of the family: This family includes the snoRNAs SNORD103 (U103) and SNORD85 (HBII-251) . The members of this family belong to the C/D class of snoRNAs which contain the C (UGAUGA) and D (CUGA) box motifs. In the human genome, there are two identical copies of SNORD103 (SNORD103A and SNORD103B) which share the same host gene with SNORD85. RNAcentral also lists the same sequence under 1 other name. The record is from Rfam by way of RNAcentral. Lineage: Eukaryota; Metazoa; Chordata; Actinopteri; Semionotiformes; Lepisosteidae.
CCUGGCAGUGAUGACACACUUGCCCUCACUGAGAGCAUGACUCGAUAAUGACAUCUUUAUGUACUCUACUGAGUCAGG